This 675-nucleotide long non-coding RNA is filed under the name Ornithorhynchus anatinus (platypus). RNAcentral describes it as "lncRNA (ENSOANG00000040629.1)". The record is from RNAcentral. Lineage: Eukaryota; Metazoa; Chordata; Mammalia; Monotremata; Ornithorhynchidae.
GCGCGGUGACGCCGGACGUCGGAGGGCGCGGGCAGCCGGGCGGACGGACGGAGCGGAGGCGGCUCAGCGAGCCGCGAUUGGUGGAUCGGGCUGUCGGCGUGUCCCGGCCGAGGCGCUCCGGGGUUGAUUUGCUCGUAUCUCCCAAGCCACCGGGACCCGUUUAAGUUGAAUUAUUGAUUGGCACUCAAUGCUAAUCCAAAAGUAAAUGAGAAACUUAGAGAAAGAUUGCCAAUCCCAAAUCAACACACUUACAGAGAAUUGGAAAAGAAGAAGAUUUACGGCUUCAUUUGAGGACUUUUGUAAAGAACUCGGGUUCCAAUAUGAGCUCUAAAAUCUUGGAGCGAGAGCUGGCGGCAGUGCCAGAUCAAACAAGUUCAGGAGGACGACUGGAGGACUGGUUAAAAGAUCCGCCCCGCUGCCACCCGAAAGUAGAGAUUCCACAGGAAAAGCAAAAUCCUCAUCUGGCCCGAACGUGGAAAGCCGCUCCAGCCACGUGACGAACCUGUGGGCCCGGCAGAGUGUGAGAACGAGAGCCUGAGGGUACUAAGUCCGAGGAGCCUCCCGCCUGUGGGGGCGGAGCGGGCCCCUCUCGAUGACAUCGAGGACUGUCGUGUUCCUGAAGGACCCAGGUGAGCACGGGCCCCUCCCCCUCCCCACAAAGGGUGGAACGGGGCG